Capsicum annuum is the source of this 2108-nucleotide long non-coding RNA. RefSeq lists it as uncharacterized. The transcript has 2 exons. NCBI's taxonomy places the organism in Eukaryota, Viridiplantae, Streptophyta, Magnoliopsida, Solanales, Solanaceae. The record is from RefSeq and is a predicted model, not a curated record.
AAUAAAAAAUCAGGAAAAAGUUUCAGCCAAAGCAGACAAAAUAUGUAAUAAAAUAUUUUAUCUACGUAAAUUAUUAAUUUAGAAAUGGAAAGUAAUCAACGAUUGUUGUCUUGAUUUUUUUCAAUUCACCUUCAUCUCCAAUUCCAUAAUCCAUAUUGGAAGUAUAGUUUCAAGAAAAAUUGGCAGCUAAAAUGUCAAAGAAGUUCAUAUUCGUACUUAAUUUUUUUGACUCGUUUCGAGUUGUUUCUUGUUGGAUCUGUAGUAGAUGUUUAAAAAUAAUCUCCAUUUAUGUCAGUGAAUAUCUGAUUUUGUGGUCUGUAUGUUUGGCAAGCUCUUCUUUUCCUAUGAUUUUCUUUUUCUUUUUUCGAUUUAAACAUGCAAGUGAAAUUUGCGAUUUGUUUGUUGUUGGAUUUGUAGUAUAUAUUGGAAAAUAAUCCCCAUUUAUGUCUGUCAGUAUCUGAUUUUAUGGCUUCUGUAAAGUCUGGUAAGCUCUCCUCUAUCUGUGAUUUUCUUUUUCUUUUUCGACUUUAACAUGCAAGUGAAAUCUGUCAUUUUUAUUGUUAAAUUUGUAGUAGAUUUUGAAAGAUAAUCUUCAUUUGUGUCAGCAAGUAUCUGAUUUUAUGAUCUCUAUAAUGUCUGGUAAGGUCUCCUCUUCUGUGAUUUUCUUUUCUUUUUUCGUUUGAACAUGCAAGUGAAUUAGAGAUUUGAUGCAGCUGAGCUGAAAAAAAUAUAGAAUGGAACGAAAAGCUUGAGUAACAGAAGAUUUGGAGUUGUAUAUUCAUGUUAAUGAUAUCUUCAUGUUCCUUUUGUACUUGUUUUGAUUAUUCCAUGGCAUAUAUUAAGUCAUAUCUAAAAAGAAUGGUGGAUUGUUCAAUUUUUUUAUAUUUUUUCCUUUUGAUUUUUGGAUGACUUUUUUUUUUUUUUUUGAAUGUUCUCAUGCUAAACAAACAAUAUUUGUCUGGUCAAUAUACAUUAUUCGAUGAGUAACAACAUGUACUAAACGUCUUCGACACAUUAGUGCUCAAUACCAGUUCUUAUAGGAGGCAUGCUUGACGCUAUCGCUUGCAAUUUUCAUGAUUUCUCCAUAAACGUUUCAGCCGGUUCAAGGCAUCUCCUUAGUGCAUUAUGUCCAAGUUGGGCUCUUUCGUUAUCUCCAAAUCCAAAGACUCAUCCACAAUUUAUUACAACAACAAUGUGGUAUAAGCCAGUGCUAAUUUGAGAUAAGUGGUGGGAUCUCAAGCUCUCCAAGAUCUCGGUCUUCAGAACUUAAUGUGAUGCUCCUCUGUAACGGAACUUGAGGCUACCAAAGCCCAUCCAACCAAAGUCAUAAACAGAACCAUUGUCUACCAGGACAAAAGUUUUCCUGAGCUAUCCCUGACGUACCGAUAGCUCAGGAAUGGCGUUGUACACCAUUCCACAUUUAACCAAACAAAAGGUGCAUUUCUCUUUGUUAUGGCUUAUCAUUUCUCUUGGUGCAUGUAUCAUCAGUAUAUGCAUAUACGAUGUGCAUUUAUAAAUGUGUUUCAAAAAGGUGUGUGGGUGAGCUUGGGAUUGGACAGGUUUCCUGACCAGCAUCUCUCGUCUUUCACAAAAUAACCAUUCAAUGAUGACUCAUUGGAUAAGUUGUUAUGCAAGUGGAAUAGCUACACAAGAUUUUUAAACUUAAUGGUUCUGAGUAAUACUGGACGAAAUCAAAAUUGCCACAUGCGACGAUCUUUAAACCUCAACAGCCAUACAAGCAAUGCCUUGCCAACACAUUCAAGGACUUCCCUCCAUCAUUUUUAGUACUUUUGGAUUCUCUCCUGGCUUUUGAACCUGAGUAUCGAAGUUCUGCUACUUUGGCACUUCAAAAUGAGAUUAGUGGCUCUCUACCAUGCUGGUCUUGAUUUUCCUGCAGAUUAGUGGCUCUCGUAUGCAGAUAAGUGUUAUCGAAAUGAUCAAGUACUUCGAUAUUGAUUUUUGUGGUUUAUCGAUUAGGGCAAGGAUCAUUGUAAAACAAAGAGAAUUUUGAGCAACAACUAUACUCUUUUAUGUUGUUAACUGUGAAACUUAUAAAUCAAGUAAUCAAACUGAAUGUCAAUUGAUUUGUUAAUUGAUUUAGCAUGCUC